GAUGAACGCUGGCGGCGUGCCUAAUACAUGCGAGUCGAGCGAACAGACGAGGAGCUUGCUCCUCUGACGUUAGCGGCGGACGGGUGAGUAACACGUGGAUAACCUACCUAUAAGACUGGGAUAACUUCGGGAAACCGGAGCUAAUACCGGAUAAUAUAUUGAACCGCAUGGUUCAAUAGUGAAAGACGGUUUUGCUGUCACUUAUAGAUGGAUCCGCGCCGCAUUAGCUAGUUGGUAAGGUAACGGCUUACCAAGGCAACGAUGCGUAGCCGACCUGAGAGGGUGAUCGGCCACACUGGAACUGAGACACGGUCCAGACUCCUACGGGAGGCAGCAGUAGGGAAUCUUCCGCAAUGGGCGAAAGCCUGACGGAGCAACGCCGCGUGAGUGAUGAAGGUCUUCGGAUCGUAAAACUCUGUUAUUAGGGAAGAACAAAUGCGUAAGUAACUAUGCACGUCUUGACGGUACCUAAUCAGAAAGCAACGGCUAACUACGUG
This 497-nucleotide ribosomal RNA is filed under the name uncultured bacterium. Its description in RNAcentral is "partial 16S ribosomal RNA". It matches the Rfam family "Bacterial small subunit ribosomal RNA", at positions 28 to 507 of the family's 1533-position model. The record is from RNAcentral.